Molecule: ribosomal RNA, 253 nt
Filed under: uncultured bacterium
Lineage: Bacteria
Description: partial 16S ribosomal RNA
Rfam family: Bacterial small subunit ribosomal RNA
Source: RNAcentral
UACGUAGGGGGCAAGCGUUGUCCGGAAUCAUUGGGCGUAAAGAGCGUGUAGGUGGCUCGGUAAGUCCGCUGUAAAAGUCCAGGGCUCAACCCUGGGAUGCCGGUGGAUACUGUCGAGCUCGAGUCCGGAAGAGGCGAGUGGAAUUCCUGGUGUAGCGGUGAAAUGCGCAGAUAUCAGGAGGAACACCGAUGGCGAAGGCAGCUCGCUGGGACGUGACUGACGCUGAGACGCGAAAGCGUGGGGAGCAAACAGG